UGGUCCUAACCUUGAAGUCAAUUUUUGCUUAGUAUACACAUGCAAGUCUCCGCCCCCCUGUGAAAACGCCCUUAAAUCCCCAUUAGGGAUAAGGAGCUGGUAUCAGGCUCAAUUAUUAGCCCAAAACACCUAGCUAUGCCACACCCACAAGGGAAAUCAGCAGUGAUCAACAUUGGAUAUUAGUGACAACUUGAUCCAGUUAAAGUAAAAAGAGCCGGCAAAUCUGGUGCCAGCCGCCGCGGUUACACCACGUGGCUCAAAUUGACUUUUUUCGGCGUAAAGCGUGAUUUAAGAGAUCUAAAAAUAUAGUUAAAUUAAAAUUAAGCUGUGACACGCUUAUUUACAAGAAACACAAUAACGAAAGUUACUAUAACUAAAUUAACUUGAAUUCACAUCAGUUAGGACACAAACUGGGAUUAGAUACCCCACUAUGCCUAACCGUAAACUUUAACUUACACUAAAAUCGCCUGGGAACUACGAGCAAAGCUUAAAACCCAAAGGACUUGACGGUACCCCAAAUCCACCUAGAGGAGCCUGUCCUAUAAUCGAUAAUCCCCGCUAAACCUCACCAUUUUUAGCCUUUUCAGCCUGUAUACCUCCGUCGUCAGCUUACCACGUGAGCGAAUUAUAGUGAGCUUAAUGUUAUUAUACCAAUACGUCAGGUCAAGGUGCAGCAAAUAAAAUGGAAAGAGAUGGGCUACACUCUCUAAUAUAGAAUAUACGAAAAACUAAUUAUGAAACCUAGUUAGAAGGCGGAUUUAGAAGUAAAAAGAAAAGACGAAUAUUCUUUUUAACAAGGCACUGGGGUGUGUACACACCGCCCGUCACCCUCCUCAAAACAUAAAAAUAGUUGUUAACAAAACUUAUGUACUGCAGAAGAGGCAAGUCGUAACAUGGUAAGUAUACCGGAAGGUGUGCUUGGAAA
Molecule: non-coding RNA, 925 nt
Filed under: Sphaenorhynchus surdus
Lineage: Eukaryota; Metazoa; Chordata; Amphibia; Anura; Hylidae
Description: partial 12S ribosomal RNA
Rfam family: Bacterial small subunit ribosomal RNA
Source: RNAcentral